This 601-nucleotide unclassified non-coding RNA is filed under the name Hevea brasiliensis (rubber tree). Lineage: Eukaryota; Viridiplantae; Streptophyta; Magnoliopsida; Malpighiales; Euphorbiaceae. The record is from RNAcentral.
AAUCAGGUAUAAGAUGUGAUCCAGAUAGUAUAGCUUCACUUGUUGAUUCUUGCACAGUCAAAGAACCAUGAGGAGGGAUCACCUUAUCGGUAGCAACAAUAGCAGGAAUGGAAGUUGAUGAAUAGAAAUUAGAAGCUGACUUCAAAUCAACAUUGUCUGUUGAGUUGUUCUGUUUCUCCUUAUCCAAAGUCAUAUAAGUUUCCCAUGAAACUAACAACCACUUGAUUGAACUAGGUUGCAAUCUCAAAUCUAGAGGAUCAAUGGAAAUAUUAGCAUCCACUUUGCGAAUAUCUAGGGAACCAUUCUUCCAAGGGAUAUUUAACUUUAAAUUCCCUGAAAAUCCACCUUUACUCCCAGUCAGAAUUGGAGUAGCAUUAGAUGGACAAUGCCCUGAAAACAACUCGCCAGAACUUGAACCUGCUGGACAAGGAGAGCAAGUUUCAUUAUCAACAUCAUCCAUCUUAAGCAGUUCAACCACCCCUCCUUGGAACUUUAUAAAGUUUGUUAGCUGACUUAUUCCUAGAAAGCUCUCAACACUUAUAUCUGAAUUUGACUUAGCAUCUUCAGACACACAAGCUCCACAUUCUGCUUCAGAUAUUCG